GUGGUGAACACAAACUGAACCACUUUGUCACAGUACUACUGAACCCUUUGGUUAACUUCUUCUCAUGAUGGUGUUCUUUGUCAACUGAAGGUCAGCUGCCACAUUGAAUAUGGGCUAGACGUAGCAUAGAUACGGCUGUAUGUUUAGGAAAAAUAAUUAAGAAGUGGGUGAAAACAAACUUGACAAACAGAUGAGAGCUCGCACAACACUCCCAACUGUCCUUCCUCUGAAAGCUGCAUGAUUAAACUCUGUUCUGGGUUCCUUUGCUCUUUGUUACUUUCACUUCCUUAACCUGCUCCAAAAUCUGCACUGACAUUAAUUCCUUCAUUCAUUGUUUGUACAUCUCUUCUGUCGCUGCUGUUUUCAGUUGCAUUUUUUGAGGCAUGCUACACAUGUCAGUUUUUUUUCUUCCACUAGAUGGCACUGUCGGACAGGGAAUGUAAUUUGUUCAACAACUGACAUUGGUUGACGUUAUGGUGAAGCCUUUUUUUUUCUCUUUCUCUUGGUGUUAGAAAGCAGAGCUUGUUGUCUCAGAGGAGAAGGAAGCAGUGACUGGCCUAGGUACUGGUCAGACUGCAGAGGAUGGAAAGGAUAUUGAGAGCUCCACUGACACUGGAGAAGCAAGUUCAUCUGAAGCUUUGUCAGAAGCUUUGGACACAGUGAGAACCCAGUUCCUGUCUGAGAGCAUGG
This is a long non-coding RNA of Poecilia latipinna (sailfin molly), 690 nucleotides long. RefSeq lists it as uncharacterized. The record is from RefSeq and is a predicted model, not a curated record. Lineage: Eukaryota; Metazoa; Chordata; Actinopteri; Cyprinodontiformes; Poeciliidae. The transcript has 2 exons.